CUAUCAACCAGAGCCGAAGUGGGGAACUUAAGGUGAAACUCGACAAUGAAUGUUAAGACAUACUUACGCCAUCUCGAGGCAACUCGACAAUGAAUGUUAAGACAGUCUUACGCCAUCUCGAGGAACCCGACAAUGAAUGUUAAGGUAACUUCACGCCAUCUCGAGGCAACUCGACAAUGAAUGUUGAUUUUACCUUACGCCAUCUCGGGGUUUGCCUUAGGGACGACCAUGGACGCACAGUAAACCAUUGAAAUGUCGGCCUGGGUUGAGGACUGGCAACGGUCCUUGGCUCGGUGUGGUGGUCUUAGUAGUGACGUGAGCCCUAGUGCGGCCCUAAAAAGUACGUACGCAGUUCACGCCAUGAAAAGAUUGCUGCAGGGUCGUUUGUCCAAUUGUCAAAGGGACCUUGACGGGUUGCUUUGAUAUUGAGGGGGCCUUGAUCGAUCCUCUUGAUGUUGGUGAGGCCUUCACGGGCUUCAUUGAUGUCAAGGGGGGAACGACCGGCUUCUUUGGUAUCUUGGUGACCUUGAUGGGACCUGAUGAUGAGAAGACAGACGGGAUCGCCUAUUUAACUAACAAACCUUAAAACUAACAAUCUAAAGUACCGUGCACCGGGGGUUUUCCUUGUGCACACCCAAAAGACAACCUACAACAACGGAUAUCUCGGCUCUCGCAUCGAUGAAGAACGCAGCGAACUGCGAUACCUAAUGUGAAUUGCAGAAUUCCGUGAAUCAUCGAAUCUUUGAACGCAUAUUGCACUCGAGGCUUCGGCUUAGAGUAUGUCUGCCUCAGCGUCGAUGUAACCAUCACAUUCCCAUAUAUGGCCAAAAGCCUAUGUGGGGUUAUGUGGAUCUGACCGUCUCGGGAGCUUCAAUGAGCCCGGGUCGGUUUAAGUUUACAGAGGUGACCUUUGCCUGACCGUUAUGGGACCUCGACAAUGAAUGUUAAGGGAGUCUUACGCCAUCUCGGGGAAACUCGACAAUGAAUGUUAAGACAACCUUACGCCAUCUCGAGGGUUGCUUCUAGGUAGGCUCAAGGCAACUUGAGCAUAUUUAGAGGUGGCUUGCCUAAUAAUGGGACGGACAUCAUUGGUUUGCCACUCAAACUUGGAAUGGCCGCUGCCUGAAUAGAUAAGGAAGGGACCCUUCAUUGGGUCUCGACUUUUGACAUAAAGGUAGUAGCUUUAACCUUACAUCAUCGACCUAGCUCAGCAGAC
This 1216-nucleotide unclassified non-coding RNA is filed under the name Chlorococcum hypnosporum. Its description in RNAcentral is "sequence contains 18S rRNA gene, ITS1, 5.8S rRNA gene, ITS2, 28S rRNA gene". The stretch from base 644 to 797 matches the Rfam family "5.8S ribosomal RNA". Lineage: Eukaryota; Viridiplantae; Chlorophyta; Chlorophyceae; Chlamydomonadales; Chlorococcaceae. The record is from RNAcentral.